Molecule: ribosomal RNA, 393 nt
Filed under: uncultured bacterium
Lineage: Bacteria
Description: partial 16S ribosomal RNA
Rfam family: Bacterial small subunit ribosomal RNA
Source: RNAcentral
AUACGGAGGAUCCGAGCGUUAUCCGGAUUUAUUGGGUUUAAAGGGUGCGUAGGUGGUUUGAUAAGUCAGCGGUGAAAGUUUGCAGCUUAACUGUAAAAAUGCCGUUGAAACUGUCGGACUUGAGUGUAAAUGAGGUAGGCGGAAUGCGUGGUGUAGCGGUGAAAUGCAUAGAUAUCACGCAGAACUCCGAUUGCGAAGGCAGCUUACUAAGCUACAACUGACACUGAAGCACGAAAGCGUGGGGAUCAAACAGGAUUAGAUACCCUGGUAGUCCACGCAGUAAACGAUGAUUACUAGCUGUUUGCGAUACACAGUAAGCGGCACAGCGAAAGCGUUAAGUAAUCCACCUGGGGAGUACGCCGGCAACGGUGAAACUCAAAGGAAUCGACGGGG